Molecule: ribosomal RNA, 710 nt
Filed under: uncultured Acidobacteriota bacterium
Lineage: Bacteria; Pseudomonadati; Acidobacteriota
Description: bacterial SSU rRNA
Rfam family: Bacterial small subunit ribosomal RNA
Source: RNAcentral
GCAAUACCGGUGAGUACAGUGGCGCACGGGUGAGUAACACGUGGAUAACCUGCCUUCGAGUGGGGAAUAACCCUGGGAAACCGGGGCUAAUACCGCAUGACAUCCUUGAACGAUGUUUGGGGAUUGAAAUUCGCAAGAAGCUUGAAGAGGGGUCCGCGGCUGAUUAGCUAGUUGGUGAGGUAACGGCCCACCAAGGCUUUGAUCGGUAGCCGGCCUGAGAGGGCGGACGGCCACACUGGAACUGAAACACGGUCCAGACUCCUACGGGAGGCAGCAGUGGGGAAUUUUGCGCAAUGGGGGAAACCCUGACGCAGCAACGACGCGUGGACGAUGAAGCUUCUUGGAGUGUAAAGUCCUUUCGGCAGGGACGAAUAAAUUGACGGUACCUGCAGAAGAAGCCCCGGCUAACUUCGUGCCAGCAGCCGCGGUAAUACGAGGGGGGCGAGCGUUGUUCGGAAUUAUUGGGCGUAAAGGGCGCGUAGGCGGUGUGGCAAGUCAGGUGUGAAACCUCCAGGCUUAACUUGGAGCUUGCACCUGAAACUGCCGUGCUAGAGUGUGGGAGAGGAGAGUGGAAUUCCUGGUGUAGCGGUGAAAUGCGUAGAUAUCAGGAGGAACACCGGUGGCGAAGGCGGCUCUCUGGACCACAACUGACGCUGAGGCGCGAAAGCCAGGGGAGCAAACAGGAUUAGAUACCCUGGUAGUCCUGGCUG